Molecule: transfer RNA, 71 nt
Filed under: Ligilactobacillus agilis
Lineage: Bacteria; Bacillati; Bacillota; Bacilli; Lactobacillales; Lactobacillaceae
Rfam family: tRNA
About the family: Transfer RNA (tRNA) molecules are approximately 80 nucleotides in length. Their secondary structure includes four short double-helical elements and three loops (D, anti-codon, and T loops).
Source: RNAcentral
GGGCUUUAGCUCAGUUGGGAGAGCGCCUGCCUUGCAAGCAGGAGGUCAUCGGUUCGAUCCCGUUAAGCUCC